UACGAAGGAUUCGAGCGUUAUCCGGAUUUAUUGGGUUUAAAGGGUGCGUAGGUGGACUAAUAAGUCAGUGGUGAAAGCCCGGAGCUCAACUCCGGAACUGCCAUUGAAACUGUUGAACUUGAGUACGAGAGAGGUGAGUGGAAUUCCCAGUGUAGAGGUGAAAUUCGUAGAUAUUGGGAAGAACACCGGUGGCGAAGGCGGCUCACUGGCUCGUAACUGACGCUCAUGCACGACAGCGUGGGGAUCAAACAGG
Molecule: ribosomal RNA, 253 nt
Filed under: uncultured prokaryote
Description: partial 16S ribosomal RNA
Rfam family: Bacterial small subunit ribosomal RNA
Source: RNAcentral